RNAcentral lists this ribosomal RNA (384 nucleotides) under uncultured Katablepharidophyta. Its description in RNAcentral is "partial small subunit ribosomal RNA". It matches the Rfam family "Eukaryotic small subunit ribosomal RNA", at positions 30 to 432 of the family's 1831-position model. Lineage: Eukaryota; Cryptophyceae; Kathablepharidacea. The record is from RNAcentral.
GCUUGUCUCAAAGAUUAAGCCAUGCAUGUCUCAGUAUAAACUUCUAUACGGUGAAACUGCGAAUGGCUCAUUAAAACAGUUAUAAUUUAUUUGAUGGUCGCUUACUACAUGGAUAACUGUGGUAAUUCUAGAGCUAAUACAUGCACAAAAUCCCGACUUACGAAGGGAUGUAUUUAUUAGAUACAAACCAACAUCGUGGUGAUUCAUAAUAACUUUGCGAAUCGUAUGCCUCACGGCGACGAUGAAUCAUUCAAAUUUCUGCCCUAUCAGCUUUGGAUGGUAGGGUAUUGGCCUACCAUGGCUUUAACGGGUAACGGAGAAUUAGGGUUCGAUUCCGGAGAGGGAGCCUGAGAAAUGGCUACCACAUCCAAGGAAGGCAGCAGG